UACGUAGGGUGCAAGCGUUAAUCGGAAUUACUGGGCGUAAAGCGUGCGCAGGCGGUUUUGUAAGUCUGACGUGAAAUCCCCGGGCUCAACCUGGGAAUUGCGUUGGAGACUGCAAGGCUAGAAUCUGGCAGAGGGGGGUAGAAUUCCACGUGUAGCAGUGAAAUGCGUAGAGAUGUGGAGGAACACCGAUGGCGAAGGCAGCCCCCUGGGUCAAGAUUGACGCUCAUGCACGAAAGCGUGGGGAGCAAA
RNAcentral lists this ribosomal RNA (249 nucleotides) under uncultured bacterium. RNAcentral's name for it is "partial 16S ribosomal RNA". It matches the Rfam family "Bacterial small subunit ribosomal RNA", at positions 524 to 772 of the family's 1533-position model. The record is from RNAcentral.